This 893-nucleotide ribosomal RNA is filed under the name Amphibalanus amphitrite. RNAcentral describes it as "partial 16S large subunit ribosomal RNA". The stretch from base 404 to 642 matches the Rfam family "Archaeal large subunit ribosomal RNA", at positions 1787 to 2143 of the family's 2987-position model. Lineage: Eukaryota; Metazoa; Arthropoda; Thecostraca; Balanomorpha; Balanidae. The record is from RNAcentral.
AAAGAUCUAAAUUUAUUAGAUAGUUCUUGUGUCAAAAAGAUUUUGAAAAUAAAUUUAGGUGUGAAAUUCUAAUCGCUUUUAUUAAUAUCUAGUUACUUCAGAAAUAAAUUUAGUUUAAAAUGAAAAGAAAGUCUUUAUUUUAAAGAUGUUUUAAAAUCAUUUUUAGAUUUUAGGGGAUGAGCUCUAAAAUUAAUAUAUAAGAAUUGUUUUUAAUUAGUUUUUUAUAGGCUUAGAAUUAGCCAUUAGAAAUUGUUAUAAAAUAUAAUAAUAAGUUUAUGAUUUAAUAAAUUCUUUUUUCCUUAUGAAGUUAACUUAAAAAUUUUAACAUAAUUGAAAAUAUGAUAACAUUAGUAGAUCUUUUAAAUCAAGAGUAUUAUCCAAGUAAAUCAUUGCUAGUUAAUCGUAGAAAACUUGACAAAAGAACUCGGCAAAUAUAAUUUUCGAAUGUUUAACAAAAACAUUUCCUCUUAGAUAAAGAGGUAAGGCCUGCUCACUGAUUAAUUAAAGAGCCGCAGUAUCCUAACUGUGCUAAGGUAGCAUAAUCAUUAGUCUUUUAAUUGGAGACUGGUAUGAAUGGCUAAACGAAAAAUUAACUUUUUUUGUCAUGAAUAUUGAAUUUAAUUUUUUAGUGAAAAAGCUAAAAUAAAUUAGAAAGACGAGAAGACCCUAUAGAGUUUUAUAUUAAGAUAAAUUUUUUCUUAUUAGAUUUUUAUAGAUAAAGUUUAAAAUAGUAUUUUGUUGGGGCGACAUUAAGAUAAACAAAACUCUUUAUUUUAAAAAUUUUAAUUAAAAUAUAGUUUGACCCUUUUAAAAAGAUCAAAAGAAAAAAUUACCUUAGGGAUAACAGCGUAAUCUUUUUUGAGAGUUCUAAUCGACAAAAAGGUUUGCGACCU